This 2422-nucleotide long non-coding RNA is filed under the name Podarcis lilfordi (Lilford's wall lizard). Lineage: Eukaryota; Metazoa; Chordata; Lepidosauria; Squamata; Lacertidae. The record is from RNAcentral.
CUCCCCUCAGCCCCAGCCAGCACAGCCAGUGGUCAGGGGUGAUGGGAACUGCAGCCCAGCAACAACAUGAGGGCUGUGGGUUCAUUGCCUCGGAACUUAAGCAAGAACGAAAUCAUACAAAAUUGUGCUUGAGCUUGCUUUUCCCUCCACCCUCCUGUGCCUUUUUCCUUGUGUGCCAUGUCUUGUUGGAAUGUGGUCCUGAGGGUAAGGACUGACUUAGUCUUAGUACUUAAUUCUGAAAGCUACUCUGGCAACUUCUUUUUUGUGGGGCAAGCCGGGAGGGGGGCGGGGGAGAGAACCAAAGGGUAUAAAUGUCACAGAUCAACAAUAAAUAAAUAAUGCUUCUGGAAAAUACUCAGGCCCCAUUGUGGCAUUGGCACGCUGGUGCAUUUGCCCCUGAAAAGAGUUCCCACAUGUUGGGGUUCCAUGUGCUUGUCCUAAUUUGGGGCAUCCUGAGAGUUUGGCCUCAGGAAUUGGGCUUGAGGACUAGAAUGAGCCUUCUGCAAUAUUGUUACACACUCCCUGCCCCCUGUUCUCCACAUCUAAUUAACACAAUCUAUUUCUUCUCCCCUCUACCCAGCACAUUUCAUUUUCUGCCCUAUAUAUGAGAGAUGCAGCCAAAUGAUGAGAUAUCAGUUGUUUUUUGUUGCUCAGACAUCACCAGUUAAACUGAGCUUCUCCCUUGAAGCUCAAAGAUCAGCAGGGAAAUAUUUACAGGAAAAUUCCUCCCAGGACCUUGAAAGAUUGAGUCAUGACAUCCCUCAAAGCACUGUCUGCAGCAACACCACAGCAGCACCCUGCCUGGAUGAUUUAUAGCUGAUGAGGAGGUUUCUUUUAAAGCUGGUUGCACCAACUUGGUGCCCUCCAGAUGUUUUAGACUAUAACUCCCAUCAGCCCCAGAAUGAGAGUUGUAGUCCAAACCAUCUGGAGGGCACCAGGUCAGCAGAGGCCGGUGUAAAGCCAGUGUGGUGUAGUGGUUAAGAGUGGUAGUCUUGUAAUCUGGGGAACCGGGUUCGUGUCUCCGCUCCUCCACAUGUAGCUGCUGGGUGACCUUGGGCUAGUCACACUUCUCUGAAGUCUCUCAGCCCCACUCACCUCACAGAGUGUUUGUUGUGGGGGAGGAAGGGAAAGGAGAAUGUUAGCUGCUUUGAGACUCCUUAGGGUAGUGAUAAAGCGGGAUAUCAAAUCCAAACUCCACUUCUUCUUCUUCUAAAGUGCCAACAGGCCACUGAACUUGCACUUAAGAAAGGAGAUUCUGGCCAAACUUUGGGAAGAUCUUCCUGACAAUGAGAGCUACUUGAUAAAGGAAUGGAUGACCUCAGAAGGUGGUGGACUCUUUGAAGGUUGGAGGGUCAUCUGCCAGGGAUGCUUUAGCUGUGAUUCCUGCCUUGCAGGAUGAUCCUUGGGGUCCCUUCCAACUCUACAAUUCUAGCAUUCAAGGAUUCAAAGACAAGCUUCCACAGCAUUUAUCCUAGGUAAGCAUCCACAGCCCAGAUGCUUGCAGCGAAUGCAUAGGAAGGUGGUGGCAGGGGGCAGGAUGAUCAGGCCCAAUCCCUUCUCCAGUUCCAUGUCGAUACAGCAAUCAGGGCCCUGUGCUGUUACAUGGUGGCAGGAAGGCCAGCUGAGGAUCCAGGAAUUUCUCUGCUAGCAUAGCCCUGCCACCUUCCCAUCCUCAAAGCACCUUGUCUCACAGCGUUUUGCUAGCCCUUGCCAAGCUGGUCUUUCCCUCCACAUUUGGCAGGUAGAAAGGGAAAGUGAGUUGGAUGGCCCUGGCGGAGUGUUAUUUAGACUAGAAUGAAGUAUAGAACCUGACAAAACAGGUGUGCUUGACCCUGGUCAUGUAUUUUUACAGCAAUCUGUGUCGUUCUGAAUGAGUUUCUCCUCUGGAUCUUUGGCUGAACGUCUCCCUGCUGUGUACAAGGCCUGACCUAAGGAAAACAAAAGCUCUCUGUUUAUUUCUCCUCAAAUUAUACACUGUUUUGGCUCAGGUUCCUUUAGUAAAGUCUUAUCAGCAUUUCCGUUCUCACUGUACUCUGUCAUAGUUAGUUAACAGACUGCAAACAAUCAUCAUGACUGCUGAACAUUCAUCACCUGCCUACAGUGUAGCUGGACAACAGCAGUUAAGUGUCAUCAGCUUUGCAUUUCUUUCAUAUAGAUAGAGAUUUCUGCCCCACCCCUUGCAAUGCUAGAUUCCCUUCCUGACUCCAGAAAUGGCUUACCCUGGGCUGUCAGUGAGAAAUUGUGUGCACCAGCUCAGCGAAGUGUGAAGCCAUCGUUUGUGCUUUGUUUAAUAACUGGGAGUGGGGAGAGAGAUUCUGCAGAAGAUAACAAUGGAGUGGAUUCGACUAUAACACCUGAAACAGAAAAGAGAGGCAGUCCUAAGGGGAGGGGUGAUGAUCACACCCCCAAUGCAAGCCCCCAC